This is a long non-coding RNA of Poecile atricapillus (Black-capped chickadee), 996 nucleotides long. RefSeq lists it as uncharacterized. The transcript is spliced from 3 exons. The record is from RefSeq and is a predicted model, not a curated record. NCBI's taxonomy places the organism in Eukaryota, Metazoa, Chordata, Aves, Passeriformes, Paridae.
GGGAGGACAGGGGAGGACAGGUGAGGAAGGUGAGGACAGGGGAGGACAGGUACAGACAGGUGAGGAAGGUGAGGACAGGGGGGGACAGGUACAGACAGGUGAGGAAGGUGAGGACAGGGAAGGACGGGAGGACAGGUACAGACAGGUGAGGAAGGUGAGGACAGGGGAGGACUGGUACAGACAAUUGAGGACAGGUACAGGUGAAGACAGGUACAGGCAGGUGAGGACAGGUACAGGUGAGGACAGGGGAGGACAGGUACAGGCAGGUGAGGACAGGUACACACAGGUACAGACAGGUACAAACAGGGGAGGACAGAUGAGGACAGGUAUAGGCUGGUACAGAUGGGUACAGGCAGGUACAGGCAGGUGAGGACAGGUACAGACACGUGAGGACAGGUACAGGCGGGUACAGGCAGGUGAGGACAGGUGAGAACAGGUACAGGCAGGUGAGGACAGGUACCGACAGGUACAGGCAGGGGUGCGGGCAGAGCUCUGCCGAGCUCCCACCUUCCCAUGCUCACGGCACAUCCCGGUGCCAGAGGCCGCCCACACCCGCCCAGGUGAGCGGGCAGGUGCUGGUGCCCCGGUGCUCAGCUCUUUUCCCGUGCGCUGCCAGGUGAGCGGGCAGGUGCUGUGCCCCGGUGCUGAGCUCUUUUCCCGUGCGCUGCCAGGUGAGCGGGCAGGUGCUGUGCACGGGUGCUGAGCCCUUUUCCCGUGCGCUGCCAGGUGAGCGGGCAGGUGCUGUGCCCCAGUGCUGAGCCCUUUUCCCGUGCGCUGCCAGGUGAGCGGGCAGGUGCUGGUGCCCCGGUGCUGAGCCCUUUUCCCGUGCGCUGCCAGGUGAGCGGGCAGGUGCUGUGCACGGGUGCUGAGCUCUUUUCCCGUGCGGUGCCAGGUGAGCGGGCAGGUGCUGUGCACAGGUGCUGAGCCCUUUUCCCGUGCGCUGCCAGGUGAGCGGGCAGGUGCUGUGCACAGGUGCUGAGCUCUUUUCCCAUGCGC